Molecule: ribosomal RNA, 440 nt
Filed under: uncultured bacterium
Lineage: Bacteria
Description: partial 16S ribosomal RNA
Rfam family: Bacterial small subunit ribosomal RNA
Source: RNAcentral
CUACGGGGGGGCAGCAGUGGGGAAUAUUGCACAAUGGAGGAAACUCUGAUGCAGCAACGCCGCGUGGAGGAUGACACUUUUCGGAGCGUAAACUCCUUUUAUAUAGGAAGAAGAUGACGGUACUAUAUGAAUAAGCGCCGGCUAACUCCGUGCCAGCAGCCGCGGUAAUACGGAGGGCGCAAGCGUUACUCGGAAUCACUGGGCGUAAAGAGCGUGUAGGCGGAUUAAAAAGUCAGAAGUGAAAUCCUAUAGCUUAACUAUAGAACUGCUUCUGAAACUCUUAAUCUAGAAUAUGGGAGAGGUAGAUGGAAUUUCUGGUGUAGGGGUAAAAUCCGUAGAGAUCAGAAGGAAUACCGAUUGCGAAGGCGAUCUACUAGAACAUUAUUGACGCUGAGACGCGAAAGCGUGGGGAGCAAACAGGAUUAGAUACCCGUGUAGUC